GGAAGUUAAAAAACUGUUUUUUAACUUUUAACUAAAAAAAAGUAAGAACCGGUUCUUAAAUAAAGACUUUGAGAACCGGUUUAAGUUUUUUUAGUUAAAAGUUAAGAAACAGUUUUUUAACUUCC
Brassica napus (rape) is the source of this 125-nucleotide non-coding RNA. NCBI's taxonomy places the organism in Eukaryota, Viridiplantae, Streptophyta, Magnoliopsida, Brassicales, Brassicaceae. The record is from Rfam.